This 230-nucleotide ribosomal RNA is filed under the name uncultured Hydrogenophaga sp. RNAcentral describes it as "partial 16S ribosomal RNA". It matches the Rfam family "Bacterial small subunit ribosomal RNA", at positions 1154 to 1382 of the family's 1533-position model. Lineage: Bacteria; Pseudomonadati; Pseudomonadota; Betaproteobacteria; Burkholderiales; Comamonadaceae. The record is from RNAcentral.
GGUGACAAACCGGGAGGAAGGUGGGGAUGACGUCAAGUCCUCAUGGCCCUUAUAGGUGGGGCUACACACGUCAUACAAUGGCCGGUACAAAGGGUCGCAAACCCGCGAGGGGGAGCCAAUCCAUCAAAGCCGGUCGUAGUCCGGAUCGCAGUCUGCAACUCGACUGCGUGAAGUCGGAAUCGCUAGUAAUCGUGGAUCAGCAUGUCACGGUGAAUACGUUCCCGGGUCUU